RNAcentral lists this ribosomal RNA (465 nucleotides) under uncultured bacterium. RNAcentral's name for it is "partial 16S ribosomal RNA". It matches the Rfam family "Bacterial small subunit ribosomal RNA", at positions 28 to 505 of the family's 1533-position model. The record is from RNAcentral.
GACGAACGCUGGCGGCGUGCUUAACACAUGCAAGUCGAACGGAAAGGCCCUGCUUUUGUGGGGUGCUCGAGUGGCGAACGGGUGAGUAACACGUGAGUAACCUGCCCUUGACUUUGGGAUAACUUCAGGAAACUGGGGCUAAUACCGGAUAGGAGCUCCUGCUGCAUGGUGGGGGUUGGAAAGUUUCGGCGGUUGGGGAUGGACUCGCGGCUUAUCAGCUUGUUGGUGGGGUAGUGGCUUACCAAGGCUUUGACGGGUAGCCGGCCUGAGAGGGUGACCGGCCACAUUGGGACUGAGAUACGGCCCAGACUCCUACGGGAGGCAGCAGUGGGGAAUAUUGCACAAUGGGCGGAAGCCUGAUGCAGCAACGCCGCGUGCGGGAUGACGGCCUUCGGGUUGUAACCGCUUUCGCCUGUGACGAAGCGUGAGUGACGGUAAUGGGUAAAGAAGCACCGGCUAACUACG